Molecule: ribosomal RNA, 253 nt
Filed under: uncultured bacterium
Lineage: Bacteria
Description: partial 16S ribosomal RNA
Rfam family: Bacterial small subunit ribosomal RNA
Source: RNAcentral
UACGUAGGGUGCAAGCGUUGUCCGGAAUUAUUGGGCGUAAAGAGCUCGUAGGCGGUUUGUUGCGUCGGCUGUGAAAUCCCGAGGCUCAACCUCGGGUCUGCAGUCGAUACGAGCAAACUAGAGUGUUGCAGGGGAGACUGGAAUUCCUGGUGUAGCGGUGAAAUGCGCAGAUAUCAGGAGGAACACCGGUGGCGAAGGCGGCGUUCUGGACUGCAACUGACACUGAGAGACGAAAGCCAGGGGAGCAAACGGG